Tachyglossus aculeatus (Australian echidna) is the source of this 372-nucleotide non-coding RNA. The record is from the annotation of a RefSeq genome assembly. NCBI's taxonomy places the organism in Eukaryota, Metazoa, Chordata, Mammalia, Monotremata, Tachyglossidae.
AUGUCCACCAUGGCCCACACUCCUCUCCUCCUCUUCCACCUCCUCUUCGCACUCCUCGCUCUCUGCACAGGUGCCCUGAGUUCGUAUGUGGUGACUCAACCACCCUCCGCGUCCGUGGCUCUGGGACAAACGGCCACACUCACCUGCUCUGCUGACAGCAUUGGUAGAAAAAGUGUGCUUUGGUUCCAGCAGAAACCCGGGCAGGCCCCUGUGCAGGUGAUAUACGGUAAUAGCAACCGACCCUCCGGGAUCCCCGACCGGUUCUCCGGCUCCAACUCUGGGAAGACGGCCACAGUGGCCAUCGCCAGGGCUCAGGCCGAGAGUGAGGCCGAUUAUUACUGUCAUAUGUGGGACAGCAGCAGCGUUGCUUAG